UUCAACGUUCUUCCACUUCGUUGUCAAUCCUUCAUCUUCUUUUUUGUCUUCAAGAAGGGAUUCUAAUUUCUCUUGCAAUUCUCCAUCAGCAGCUUGAAGAAAUAGAUCAACUUUGUUCGGCUCCAAUGUUAAUUUUUCUACCUUCGAUAAUUGAGAGUACUGCCUCUCAAAUUCCCUUAGUAGCUCUGUUGCUUGCAAAUUCUUAUUGGGCC
Molecule: long non-coding RNA, 212 nt
Filed under: Physcomitrium patens
Lineage: Eukaryota; Viridiplantae; Streptophyta; Bryopsida; Funariales; Funariaceae
Description: long non-coding RNA (PPAT_LNC003843)
Source: RNAcentral